AAUCACUGACCCACCCCACCCCCAUUUCAUUUUUCUCCUUUGGAAAGUAAAUGCUGAGAUCUACCUGGAAGGAUAUGAAAGCGAUGGAAUCGCAGGAUGUCCUGGCACCUAGUGGGUGCUCACAUAGGAUGUCUCCUUUUCCAGGACAAACUUGGAUUUAUUUACACCAAAGGUCUACUGUGGGAUCUUGGGCCCGCCAGCCCUCUGAACCUGUUUCUUCUGCAAAAUGAGGAUAGUAACACUUACCUCCUAGGGGUGUUGGCAGCACCACUUUAGACCGGAGGUUCUCAUAGUGUGUUCCCCGGACCAGCAGCAUCAGCAUCACCUGGGAAUUUGUCAAAGAUGCAAAUUCUCAGCCUGCCAUCGAUUUACUGAAUCGGGAACUCUAAGGGUGGGGU
This 398-nucleotide long non-coding RNA is filed under the name Homo sapiens (human). RNAcentral describes it as "HSALNT0267744". The record is from RNAcentral. Lineage: Eukaryota; Metazoa; Chordata; Mammalia; Primates; Hominidae.